Helianthus annuus (common sunflower) is the source of this 554-nucleotide long non-coding RNA. RefSeq lists it as uncharacterized. The record is from RefSeq and is a predicted model, not a curated record. The transcript is spliced from 2 exons. Lineage: Eukaryota; Viridiplantae; Streptophyta; Magnoliopsida; Asterales; Asteraceae.
AACAUAUUGCAUAAUUUGUUUUCUGUGCAAAUGUUUGUUGUACAUAGGUGGACAAGUUACUAAAGCAGCAGCUAAAACAUACAGACCUCUCCCUCAAUUAUGUCAACGUCGAAGCAGGUCCUCGGUCAUCGAUUAGAAGAGGACUGCGGCGAACAAGGUGGAUUCACGGCGACGGAUUCUGCCAUAGCAGAAGAUAGGGGCAGUUGUGUUGCUUGGAUCAGCAAUGGCAUAGCAGUGUGCAGAUAAUUUUCCUCAGAAGCAGAAGAAAUUAACCUUGUCAUAUGUUGUUGUGAUUUAUAUAUGUAUGUGAUUACCAUUAUCAAUUUACCUUCCUAUAACACUUGUUUCAAAUGGGAUUCGCAAUCUUUGUCUGGUUGAAGGAGAGCCAGACCUUGCUUUUGUUGGUUUACUGCAGGAUGUAGUUGCAGAGCAGAAAUGAAAAGAUGAAAUUUGAGAGGAAAACCAGUGUCGUUUGGGUUCAUUUGGGAUAUUUGGUACUUUUGUACAAGAACUUCUUUUUGCUUUUGUUAUAAGAAUGAUUUGGUUGGAAAGAA